AUCACUGCUGUGCUCAAGGCACAGGGCUAUGGGGCAGAAGAAGCAAGGAAGUCAUAUAGACAGAGACCUGCAGUCAAUGGGGAUGCGCUCAUGAAAAUGAGGGCUAGACACAUACAGUUGUAACUACACCUUCCAAACAGCAAGAACUAGGAGGUUUCCAAGGGCAAGAGAUCCCACUCAGUUUGUGGAAGUGAUAUUGGGGGUUAUUUUUAAAGGAAAGGAGAAAGCCAGCUUCCAUAUAAGAAGUCCAACUAUCCUAAUCCCUCCAUGCUAUGAGGAGACCCAACCUAGACAUAUUGGAGAAGUCACAUAAAGAGAGAGCAUUGAUGACCAACCUCCAACUAUUCUAGCCAGCUCAACUCAUGCACCAGAUACAUAAGAGAAGAAACUACAUUGAGUAUCCAGCCCAUUUGAGACUUCAAAUGACUCCAAUCCCAACUGCCAUCUGACUACAACUGCAAGGAAGACUCCCAGUGGGAACUGACAUCCAGCAAAGCCCAAUCAACCCACAGAGCUGUGACAGAUAAUACAUUUUAAGCCACUACGUUUUAG
This 552-nucleotide long non-coding RNA is filed under the name Mustela putorius furo (domestic ferret). Its description in RNAcentral is "lncRNA (ENSMPUG00000024506.1)". The record is from RNAcentral. Lineage: Eukaryota; Metazoa; Chordata; Mammalia; Carnivora; Mustelidae.